Molecule: ribosomal RNA, 279 nt
Filed under: uncultured bacterium
Lineage: Bacteria
Description: partial 16S ribosomal RNA
Rfam family: Bacterial small subunit ribosomal RNA
Source: RNAcentral
UGCCAGCCGCCGCGGUAAUACUGAAGGUGCAAGCGUUAAUCGGAAUCACUGGGCGUAAAGCGCUCGUAGGUGGCUUUGUAAGUCAGAUGUGAAAGCCCACGGCUCAACCGUGGAAUUGCAUUUGAUACUGCAGAACUUAAGUGCAAAAGGGGUAAGUGGAAUUCCAGGUGUAGCGGUGGAAUGCGUAGAUAUCUGGGAGAACGCCAAAGGCGAAGGCAGCUUACUGGGUUGCAACUGACACUGAGGAACGAAAGCUAGGGGAGCGAACAGGAUUAGAUA